RNAcentral lists this long non-coding RNA (144 nucleotides) under Vulpes vulpes (red fox). RNAcentral describes it as "Deleted in lymphocytic leukemia 2 conserved region 6 (ENSVVUG00000028113.1)". It matches the Rfam family "Deleted in lymphocytic leukemia 2 conserved region 6". Lineage: Eukaryota; Metazoa; Chordata; Mammalia; Carnivora; Canidae. The record is from RNAcentral.
GCGCCCCGCGGACGGCCCUCGGCUCCCAGGAAUUUGGGGUGAUUUUUUUUUGGUGAUUUUUUUCCCCCCUGCGGAGUCCCAGGAGCGCUCCGAUGUCGCACAGGUCGCCCCGUCUCUCCCGCUGGAUGGAGGAGACCAGGCAUC